Molecule: ribosomal RNA, 253 nt
Filed under: uncultured bacterium
Lineage: Bacteria
Description: partial 16S ribosomal RNA
Rfam family: Bacterial small subunit ribosomal RNA
Source: RNAcentral
UACGUAGGGGGCUAGCGUUGUCCGGAAUUAUUGGGCGUAAAGAGCUCGUAGGCGGUUUGUCGCGUCUGCUGUGAAAAUCCAGGGCUUAACCCUGGACCUGCAGUGGGUACGGGCAGACUGGAGUGCGGUAGGGGAGAUCGGAAUUCCUGGUGUAGCGGUGAAAUGCGCAGAUAUCAGGAGGAACACCGGUGGCGAAGGCGGAUCUCUGGGCCGUAACUGACGCUGAGGAGCGAAAGCAUGGGGAGCAAACAGG